Molecule: ribosomal RNA, 253 nt
Filed under: uncultured bacterium
Lineage: Bacteria
Description: partial 16S ribosomal RNA
Rfam family: Bacterial small subunit ribosomal RNA
Source: RNAcentral
UACGGAGGGUGCAAGCGUUAUCCGGAUUCACUGGGUUUAAAGGGUGCGUAGGUGGGUUGGUAAGUCCGUGGUGAAAUCCCCGAGCUUAACUCGGAAACUGCCGUGGAUACUAUCAAUCUUGAAUACUGUGGAGGUAAGCGGAAUAUGUCAUGUAGCGGUGAAAUGCUUAGAUAUGACAUAGAACACCGAUAGCGAAGGCAGCUUGCUACACAGUCAUUGACACUGAGGCACGAAAGCGUGGGGAGCAAACAGG